Molecule: ribosomal RNA, 405 nt
Filed under: uncultured bacterium
Lineage: Bacteria
Description: partial 16S ribosomal RNA
Rfam family: Bacterial small subunit ribosomal RNA
Source: RNAcentral
AUUGAACGCUGGCGGCAGGCUUAACACAUGCAAGUCGAACGAGUGGCGGACGGGUGAGUAAUGAUUGGGAAUCUAGCUUAUGGAGGGGGAUAACUACGGGAAACUGUAGCUAAUACCGCGUACCAUAGGAUGAGCCCACGUGGGAUUAGGUAGUUGGUGGGGUAAAGGCUAACCAAGCAGACGAUCUCUAGCUGGUCUGAGAGGAUGACCCGCCACACUGGGACGUAGACACGGCCCAGACUCCUACGGGAGGCAGCAGUGGGGAAUAGUGCGCAAUGGGGGCAACCUGACGCAGCCAUGCCGCGUGAAUGAAGAAGGCCUUCGGGUUGUAAAGUUCUUUCGGUAGGGAGGCGUUAACUACAGAAGAAGCACCGGCUAACUCCGUGCCAGCAGCCGCGGUAAUUC